UGAGCAAUCUGCCCUUCUCUUCGGAAUAAGCGUUGGAAACGACGUCUAAUGCCGAAUACGACCUCCUUUCGCAUGAUCGGAGGUGGAAAACUCCGGCGGAGAAGGAUGAGCUCGCGGCCUAUCAGCUAGUUGGUGUGGGUAAUGGCCCACCAAGGCGACGACGGGUAGCCGGCCUGAGAGGGUGACCGGCCACACUGGGACUGAGAUACGGCCCAGACCUCCGUACGGGAGCAGCAGG
Molecule: ribosomal RNA, 238 nt
Filed under: uncultured bacterium
Lineage: Bacteria
Description: partial 16S ribosomal RNA
Rfam family: Bacterial small subunit ribosomal RNA
Source: RNAcentral